AUUGAACGCUGGCGGCAGGCUUAACACAUGCAAGUCGAGCGGAGCGAGGGUGCUUGCACCUUAGCUUAGCGGCGGACGGGUGAGUAAUGCUUAGGAAUCUGCCUAUUAGUGGGGGACAACAUUCCGGAAGGAAUGCUAAUACCGCAUACGCCCUACGGGGGAAAGCAGGGGAUCUUCGGACCUUGCGCUAAUAGAUGAGCCUAAGUCGGAUUAGCUAGUUGGUGGGGUAAAGGCCUACCAAGGCGACGAUCUGUAGCGGGUCUGAGAGGGUGAUCCGCCACACUGGGACUGAGACACGGCCCAGACUCCUACGGGAGGCAGCAGUGGGGAAUAUUGGACAAUGGGCGGAAGCCUGAUCCAGCCAUGCCGCGUGUGUGAAGAAGGCCUUUUGGUUGUAAAGCACUUUAAGCGAGGAGGAGGCUACUUAGAUUAAUACUCUGGGAUAGUGGACGUUACUCGCAGAAUAAGCACCGGCUAACUCUGUGCCAGCAGCCGCCGUAA
RNAcentral lists this ribosomal RNA (501 nucleotides) under uncultured bacterium. Its description in RNAcentral is "partial 16S ribosomal RNA". It matches the Rfam family "Bacterial small subunit ribosomal RNA", at positions 30 to 523 of the family's 1533-position model. The record is from RNAcentral.